GGUAAGUCUUCUUUCUCUACUCACUUCCCCCUUAUCUCUAUGACUUCUCGAAAAAAACAAUUAGACCUAAACAUUUCAGAUCUGUUUCUUUAUCUACUCACCUCCCCCUGUUCUCUGUCGAAGAUUUUUAUUGACUCUUCCUUAUUUAAUUUCUCGUCUCUGCUCUCAAAUACCAAGCUUUCUCUGUAAUUUGAACCGCUGAUUUUACGUUUCAACCUCGAAAAAUCCAAGCUUUUCUGUCAAUUGAAGACUUUGUGAUUCUUGAAAUUCGUCUUUGUUUAAUGGGCACAAUUAGGGUUUUCAAGGAGGUUCCCGGAUCUUUGAAAUCGACUUAGUUCAUAGUCACCUCAGUUUUGGUGAUUUUAUUUGAUAAAAUCUGGUAUGUGUAUGUGUUUGUGUUUGUGUCUGUGUCUUAGAAGCUUAUAUAUGGUUUGAACAUGUGAGUUUUGUUUACUAUAUUAUUUUGUUGUUUGUGAUCAAUAGACUGGAUUUGGAGAAGUUGAAGAACAUGUCAAGAAGCUUGAAGAAGCAGUUGGCUGGAAGAAGAUAGGACCCUUUGAUUGGUUUCAAUUUUUAUAGCCCCUAAUGGAAAGGAAACUGGUCCCAGCUCUGCCUUACCUGCAAGAUAAUUAGACCGGUGCGAUCUAAACACUCUCCCACAUGUAAGCGCUGCGUUGAGCAGUUUGACCAUCACUGCCUCCGGAUUUCCAACUGUGUUGGUAAGAAGAAUAAACGACUUCUUAGUCUUUGUGAUCAUGGGAGCUUUAACAUCAUUCGUUGGCGGCACAACUGCUGUUCAAAGUAUGUGACUGAAACAACUCUCCCUAGCAAUCCUACCAUUGAACAUACCGAUGCUGCCGUGUUUCUAUUUUUCCACUUGAUCUUGGAACAUUAGUGGGAACUACUUAGGUUUCAAUGAUGGAAUACAAAGCAAUUGUGAAUGUGCUACAAACCAUUUAUUAUGUAGUUGUUCAUCUAUUCUUUUUCUAAUUAUGUUUUUUUGAGGAGGAUGAAGUAUUCUUUUUUUAGUUCUGAUUUUUAAUUUUAUUUUGUAAUACAGUUUUUUUUUGUAAUCAUGGCUUAGAAUAAUCAAUAUAGUAUUCGAAAUAUGUUUUAAAUUA
Camelina sativa (false flax) is the source of this 1121-nucleotide non-coding RNA. The record is from RefSeq and is a predicted model, not a curated record. NCBI's taxonomy places the organism in Eukaryota, Viridiplantae, Streptophyta, Magnoliopsida, Brassicales, Brassicaceae.